Unclassified non-coding RNA from Papio anubis (olive baboon), 117 nucleotides. It matches the Rfam family "Metazoan signal recognition particle RNA". From Rfam's summary of the family: The signal recognition particle (SRP) is a universally conserved ribonucleoprotein. It is involved in the co-translational targeting of proteins to membranes. Lineage: Eukaryota; Metazoa; Chordata; Mammalia; Primates; Cercopithecidae. The record is from Ensembl.
GCUGGGUGUGGUAGCUCACGCCUGUAAUCCUAGCACUUUGGGAGGCUGAGGCAGGCGGAUCACCUGAGGUCAGGGGUUCAAGACCAGCCUGGCCAACAUGGUGAAACCCUGUCUCUA